UCUUUGUUAGUAUAUCGGUUAGUACACGCGCCUGUCAUUGAGAUUCGCGCGUAAGCUGGGUUCGACUCCCAGACAGAGAG
This is a non-coding RNA of Crassisporium funariophilum, 80 nucleotides long. The record is from the annotation of a GenBank genome assembly. Lineage: Eukaryota; Fungi; Basidiomycota; Agaricomycetes; Agaricales; Crassisporiaceae.